RNAcentral lists this ribosomal RNA (490 nucleotides) under uncultured bacterium. RNAcentral's name for it is "partial 16S ribosomal RNA". It matches the Rfam family "Bacterial small subunit ribosomal RNA", at positions 30 to 507 of the family's 1533-position model. The record is from RNAcentral.
AUUGAACGCUGGCGGCAGGCCUAACACAUGCAAGUCGAACGGUAACAGGAAGCAGCUUGCUGCUUCGCUGACGAGUGGCGGACGUGUGUGUCAUGUCUGGGAAACUUCCUGAUGGAGGGGGUUACCUACUGGAAACGGUUCCUAUUACCGCUUAACUUCUCAAGCCCAAAGAGGGGGACCUUAUGGCCUCUUGCCUUCGUCUGUGCCCAGUUGGGUUUAGCUAGUAGGUGGGGUAACGGCUCACCUAGGCGACGAUCCCUACCUGGUAUGAGAGGAUGACCAGCCACACUGGAACUGAGACACGGACCAGACUCCUACGGGAGGCAGCAGUGGGGAAUAUUGCACAAUGGGCGCAAGCCUGAUGCAGCCAUGCCGAGCGUAUGAAGAAGGCCUUCGGGUUGUAAAGUACUUUAAGCGGGGAGGAAGGGAGUAAAGUUAAUACCUUGGCUGAUUGACGUUACCCGCAGAAGGAGCACCGGCUAGCUCCGUG